AGCGAACGCUGGCGGCAGGCUUAACACAUGCAAGUCGAGCGGGCAUCCUUGUGGUGUCAGCGGCAGACGGGUGAGUAACGCGUGGGAACGUGCCCUUCGGUUCGGAAUAACUCAGGGAAACUUGAGAUAAUACCGGAUACGUGCGAGAGCAGAAAGGUUUAUCUGCCGAAGGAUCGGCCCGCGUCUGAUUAGCUAGUUGGUGAGGUUACGGCUCACCAAGGCGACGAUCAGUAGCUGGUCUGAGAGGAUGAUCAGCCACACUGGGACUGAGACACGGCCCAGACUCCUACGGGAGGCAGCAGUGGGGAAUAUUGGACAAUGGGGGCAACCCUGAUCCAGCCAUGCCGCGUGAGUGAUGACGGCCUUAGGAUUGUAAAGCUCUUUUCUCCGGGACGAUAAUGACGGUACCGGAGGAAUAAGCCCCGGCUAACUUCGUG
This 437-nucleotide ribosomal RNA is filed under the name uncultured bacterium. RNAcentral's name for it is "partial 16S ribosomal RNA". It matches the Rfam family "Bacterial small subunit ribosomal RNA", at positions 29 to 507 of the family's 1533-position model. The record is from RNAcentral.